This 1758-nucleotide long non-coding RNA is filed under the name Equus caballus (horse). Its description in RNAcentral is "lncRNA (ENSECAG00000029996.3)". Lineage: Eukaryota; Metazoa; Chordata; Mammalia; Perissodactyla; Equidae. The record is from RNAcentral.
GAAACACUGGCCGCAGGAGGGGCACGUGACGCCAGCCAGACACUCGGCCAAGCAGGGAGCGGAAUCAAGCCGGAACCCCGCGGGGUGACUGGACCUAACACUGCAGGAGACUCGGGAACCCCACCUCGCCUGUGGCGUCCAUGCCACUGGUCCUCACGGCCCCUCCCGGGGCUCAGGGUGGCAGCAAGUGGCACACUGGAGCCCCUGACUGACCCUGGGCCUCCGCGUCCCCCAGGACUCUCAGGAGGAAUGACAGCCGCGGGCAGCCUGCUAGGCCUGCUGCUGGGGCACCGCAUGGUGGCGUGGUGGCGCUUGGGGGCAUCCGCUGGCACAUGCCCUCCAGGCCUGCUGGCUGGCAGCAGCACAGCCUUGCUCUCGCACGUGCUCCAGCAAGCGCACGCACGCCUCCAGCCAAGCUCCCUCUAGGUCAAGCAGGACAGGCUCCACCCGCCACAUCUGCUUCCGGGUGCUGUGCCUAAGGCUCGCGAGACCCGUGACCUGGCUGCCCGGUCCCCGGAUGAAAGGCAGGGGGCGGUCCAUGAAGCCAGCUCAAAGAGGCGGCAGAGGAGUAAGGAGUUCGGCGUCACCCGCCUCGUUAGGAGAGAACGGGAAAGGAAGAUAACUGUAUUCAUGAGUGAAGCAAAGGAAGAGACUCUAGAAAAAAGGUGGCCAAUUUCUUGACCAGUAAGGAGAGAAUAAAGAGAGAAAAAUAGAAAAAAAGUAAAGGCUUGGCAAGUACCAGAAGGCUCAUUGAGAUUUCCUGUGGUUUAUGACCCAAGUUGACAACUGUGACUUCUUCUUUGUGGCGUUCUGAUGGUUAUGUCGUAUAAGAAUCACCUUAUAUCAUUUGAGAAGCUGCUGACACGGAGCACUGGUUUGAUGGAUGACCUGAGCGGCUGCUGUUCCCAUCAGAGAUCUGUUUUACUCUCCAGCGCACUUACACAUCCAUUAUUGUGUUGAAGACACCCACACAACUCCUCUGCUAUUGGGACGUCCCGAGCGCGCGGCAGUUUCAUAAAUGCCAGGUUCCGAGCAUUGCGUGGGAAAGUGCAGCGGCGCAGUAAAGCAUCGCCUGGCCUUUUGGCAAUCACCAGAUUAUUACAUUUUAAAGGAUUCUGUCUGAUGAAUUUCAGCUUCCUCAGCUGUGUAAACUUGCCCCAAUUCUCCUUCAAAAAAUUCGUGGAUGUGCAUUUUGAGAUUCACUUAACUGUGACAACAUUAAUUCUUUCAGGUCAUCGUGAAUAAGUGACACAUGAAUUCAUUAGGCAUCUAUUUGCAUGUACAGUAUUCUUAGUAUUGUAGUGAAAUAGUUCCAUUUCAUUAGAAAAGAUCCCUGAAAAACAAUGGCAUUAUUACCUGUGAAUAUUUCUCACGUUACAUGGUCCACAGUAGAGCUACAAGACUAUAACCCCACACCAAUACGCAGGACCCAGGAUAAGUGGACAAGUAAGGUACAACACCGUAUACUUAUAUGAAUCAUCAUAGUUAGAGCUAAUUUUUUUCUGGAAUUUAUUAGGGAAUCCAUAUCAUAUGAUUCAUUUAUAUACUUUUCUUUAAAUAUUCUGUUCAGGAAAACAAAGUCUAAAUUCAAGUAAAAAAUACUAAUUCUAAACUCAUAUGAAAAAUAUCUUGACAGAUUUUAACAAAAAUAGUGUAGCUAAUGAAGACCAUGGCAUCCACUUAAAUGUAUUAGAACACAAUAUUUAUAGAUUAAUUAAAUCUUCUAUCUCUUUUAAACAAUGAGAUAUUGAUGUGCUC